Molecule: ribosomal RNA, 673 nt
Filed under: uncultured bacterium
Lineage: Bacteria
Description: bacterial SSU rRNA
Rfam family: Bacterial small subunit ribosomal RNA
Source: RNAcentral
AAUACCGCAUAACAUGGUUUGAAGGCAUCUUCUUUCCAUCAAAGAUUUAUCGGAUAUGGAUGAGCUCGCGUCUGAUUAGCUUGUUGGUGAGGUAACGGCUCACCAAGGCGACGAUCAGUAGCCGACCUGAGAGGGUGAUCGGCCACAUUGGAACUGAGACACGGUCCAAACUCCUACGGGAGGCAGCAGUGGGGAAUAUUGGGCAAUGGAGGAAACUCUGACCCAGCAACGCCGCGUGAAUGAUGAAGGUCUUCGGAUUGUAAAGUUCUUUUCUAAGGGAAGAAGAAAGUGACGGUACCUUAGGAAUAAGCCUCGGCUAACUACGUGCCAGCAGCCGCGGUAAUACGUAGGAGGCAAGCGUUAUCCGGAAUGACUGGGCGUAAAGGGUGCGUAGGUGGUUUGACAAGUUGGUAGCGUAACUCCGGGGCUCAACCUCGGCACUACUACCAAAACUGUUGGACUUGAGUGCAGGAGGGGCAAAUGGAAUUCCUAGUGUAGCGGUGGAAUGCGUAGAUAUUAGGAGGAACACCAGUGGCGAAGGCGAUUUGCUGGACUGUAACUGACACUGAGGCACGAAAGCGUGGGGAGCAAACAGGAUUAGAUACCCUGGUAGUCCACGCUGUAAACGAUGAAUACUAGGUGUAGGGGGUAUCGACUCCCUCUGUGCCGCCGC